UCCGGUUUGUCACCGGCAGUCUCCUAUGAGUCCCCAACUAAAUGCUGGCAACAUAGAACAGGGGUUGCGCUCGCUGCGGGACUUAACCCAACAUCUCACGACACGAGCUGACGACAACCAUGCACCACCUGUAAACCGGCCGCAAGCGGGGCACCUGUCUCCAGGCGUUUCCGGUUCAUGUCAAGCCUUGGUAAGGUUCUUCGCGUUGCAUCGAAUUAAUCCGCAUGCUCCGCCGCUUGUGCGGGCCCCCGUCAAUUCCUUUGAGUUUUAGCCUUGCGGCCGUACUCCCCAGGCGGGGCGCUUAAUGCGUUAGCUACGGCACGGACAACGUGGAUGUCGCCCACACCUAGCGCCCAACGUUUACAGCGUGGACUAC
Molecule: unclassified non-coding RNA, 376 nt
Filed under: uncultured Actinomycetes bacterium
Lineage: Bacteria; Bacillati; Actinomycetota; Actinomycetes
Description: uncultured actinobacterium contains 16S-23S intergenic spacer region
Source: RNAcentral